RNAcentral lists this long non-coding RNA (724 nucleotides) under Brassica rapa (field mustard). Its description in RNAcentral is "long non-coding RNA (BRAP_LNC000563)". The record is from RNAcentral. Lineage: Eukaryota; Viridiplantae; Streptophyta; Magnoliopsida; Brassicales; Brassicaceae.
UUUAAUAUUUAUGAAAAUAAUUUUAAUAAAUAGUUUUACAAACAAAAAAAAUUUGGAAAAAUAGUAACAUUUGUUAAAAUACCUAUAUGAACUUAAUGGUAUAUUUUCCAGUUAUAAAAAAGUUAAAAUUAUAAAUUUCAGAUUAUGUUCUAAAAAAAAGUAGAAAUGACAUUCUACGAAGUAGAAAACGAAAUCUACUUUUUUCAUUGAAUCUACAAUGUUUAGAAUACGUGAUCUACGUAAAUAGGAGUAUUCUACAAAGAUGUAGAAUACACAUUCCGCGCUUAACCUACCAUUCUAAAAUUCUUAGAAAUCAAAAUCUACACAUUAAUCUAAUUCUAAAACAUGUAGAAACCGACUUCUACAGAUUUACUAUAAAUCUAAAACAUGUAGAAAUCAAAUUCUAAACAUUACUAUAAUUCUAAAAAACUGUAGAAAUUGAUUUCUACAUAUUAGUUGUAUUCUACGGAUAAGAAAUCAGUUCCUAAAAAUAUGGAAACAAAAUAUUUGAGAAUAUUCACUUUUAUAUUUUUUUUAAAAAUCGAUUUUUUUAAAAAAAAAAAAACGAAAAAGAACAAAAAAAAGCGACAAAAAAAACCUUGGCAACCUUCUUCGCCGUCUUCUAUAUUCCAUUGAUUGUUCACAAAAUUUUCACAAAAUUUUCACAUUAUUUCUACCAUGAUUCAUGUCUAUGCUUCAUGUGGUGUUUGGGAAUUGGUUGUAU